CGCAGUAUACAAGUGAAUUCAAUCGUGUGUUGUCCUUAUUGAGCAAUUAUUUAAAAUGACUGCAACUAGAAGACAGCUUUUCAAUGAAGCCGAAAAGAUUUGUCUGCAGGAGUUAGUGAUCAAAUACAAAUUAAAUUCGAUAGCCACUACGGGGAGCGCAGUGGCUAAAAAAAUCCCUGGCUUAGCCUAACAGAGGAGUACAAUGCCAUAGAAACGAAUUCAAAAAGUACUGAAGCUCAACUUAAAAAAUGUUGGGACCAGGCGUAAAAGUAUGUUGGCCUUAGAGAAAAGGGAAAGGAUGAGGACCGGUGGUGGUUCCUCUAAUGCUUACAUACCUAGUACCUGUACUAGAGGAUGCUCUCGCUGAACAGACAGAUGUGGAGUUGGCAGAUGUAAUCGACAGUGAUAACAUACCUUGUAGUGCAGUAAUCCAAAUUGAUGAUGUGAUGUUGUUAGACAUGUCAUCUCAAGUACCAGCAGUUGAACAUGUGUCAGAAAGAGAAAACAUUAUAAACACUCCUCCACAUUUGACAGAGUCCCGGUUGACUGAUUAUAGUGCAGCUCCAUCACAAGAGUCAAGAAAUAUACGGACCAGAGUGAUUCAAGAAGAAUUUCAUAUCCGUCAACAAACAUAUGGAAAAUCUCAGAAAAGGGAAGUGGAGCUGCAUAAGCUCAGAAUAGCUGAGAAGGAGUGGAUGGUGAAGGCAGCAGAGGAGAUUUUUCUCAAAGCCAAAACUGAGAGAGAAGCUGCAGAGGAACUUCUCCUCUGCAAUAGAGCCAAAAGAGAAGAGGCUGAAUUAAGUUUAAGAAUAUUUAAAAAUAAAAAAUUUUGAAAAUUAAUUUAGUAUUAGGUUGUAUGUAUAUGUUUAUUUCAAUUCUAUUGUGUAAUAAAAAACUUUAUUGCUUA
Long non-coding RNA from Leptidea sinapis, 907 nucleotides. RefSeq lists it as uncharacterized. The transcript has 5 exons. The record is from RefSeq and is a predicted model, not a curated record. NCBI's taxonomy places the organism in Eukaryota, Metazoa, Arthropoda, Insecta, Lepidoptera, Pieridae.